UCCGUAGGUGAACCUGCGGAAGGAUCAUUAACGAAUAACUAUGGCGUUGGUUGUAGCUGGCUCCUCGGAGCAAUGUGCACGCCCGCCAUUUUUAUCUUUCCACCUGUGCACCGACUGUAGGUCUGGAUACCUCUCGCCUCCGGGCGGAUGCGAGGGUUGCUCGUAAGGGCUUCCCUUGAACUUCCAGGCUCUACGUCUUUUUACACACCCCAAUAGUAUGAUGCAGAAUGUAGUCAAUGGGCUUCUCAGCCUAUAAAACACUAUACAACUUUCAGCAACGGAUCUCUUGGCUCUCGCAUCGAUGAAGAACGCAGCGAAAUGCGAUAAGUAAUGUGAAUUGCAGAAUUCAGUGAAUCAUCGAAUCUUUGAACGCACCUUGCGCUCCUUGGUAUUCCGAGGAGCAUGCCUGUUUGAGUGUCAUUAAAUUCUCAACCUCACCAGUUUUCUGAACUGACUGAGGCUUGGAUGUGGGGGUUUGUGCAGGCUGCCUCACCGGCGGUCUGCUCCCCUGAAAUGCAUUAGCGAGGUUCAUGCUGGACCUCCGUCUAUUGGUGUGAUAAUUAUCUACGCCGUGGACGAGGAUACAGACUCGCUUCUAACCGUCCGCGAGGACAAUACCUUGACAAUUUGACCUCAAAUCAGGUAGGACUACCCGCUGAACUUAAGCAUAUCAAUAAGCGGAGGA
This 685-nucleotide ribosomal RNA is filed under the name Coprinellus radians. Its description in RNAcentral is "eukaryotic LSU rRNA". The stretch from base 267 to 420 matches the Rfam family "5.8S ribosomal RNA". Lineage: Eukaryota; Fungi; Basidiomycota; Agaricomycetes; Agaricales; Psathyrellaceae. The record is from RNAcentral.